Cannabis sativa is the source of this 1160-nucleotide long non-coding RNA. RefSeq lists it as uncharacterized. The transcript has 2 exons. Lineage: Eukaryota; Viridiplantae; Streptophyta; Magnoliopsida; Rosales; Cannabaceae. The record is from RefSeq and is a predicted model, not a curated record.
AAUAAUAUUACUAAAAUUUUCAAAUAAAUAAAUAAAUAUUAGUAAAAAAUUAAAAAUUUUAAGAUGAAAAAAUGCCAUUUUACAGCUACACGGUUUCUCUUCUCAGUCCCGGUAGAAAUUUUUUCUGUCACCGACGGUCAAAUCCGACCCCACCGUGAGAUUCGCCGGCCCCUAAAACCUAACACCCAUAAGCUCUCUCCUUCUCCGAGCACGACGACGCAUCUCAGACGGCUAUUGUUCAGCCAUUGACGGUGCAAGCGGACACAGAUCAAGCUUCCUUCCCCUUUCUCGGUCCUCUCAUUCUCUCUCUCGUUCUUUCGAUGGGAUCUUUCUCUGAAUGGGGAUAAUUGCUUUUGAUAUAGGUAAGGAGAAAUUUAAUCUUAUAAAGUUACCUAAAUUUUGGAGAGGUAAUGAUGGUGGGGACAUAGCUAAAAUUUUUGGGUGGGUGUCUUUCUAUGAUAUAUGUGGAUGAAGACACAGUAGUUCACAUAUGGAUUAUGAAAAAUUAUGGUGACUCUUAUUCUUGGUACAAAUAUUAAUUUUUUAGUUUAUAUGAUCUUAUUUCAGAUAAGCUUGGUAAAUUUUUUGAGCAAUGAGAUUAUGUUAGUUUCUUUAUUUUUGACUGGUUAUUAUUGUAGUAAGACACAAGUGUAAGAUAAGAGGAUGAUAUCCUGCAUUGGACUUCACUACUUAUGCAGAGAGCGUUUUCAGGAUAAAUGAGUGACAAUUUCGUAUAUGUUUUAAAAAGUGAGUUUAACACUUUUGGAUCUUUCCUCAAAUGCGAUCCACCCAACACGAAAGAAAUCCUCUCAUCUCGACAACACGAUCCAUCCAAAAAUUGGUUUUGAAGCUCUUAAUUAUGUGUCUGCUCCCAUCUCGUUUUUGUGGAUGGAUGAGGAUGCCAUAGUUUAGAUUUCUAAACCCAGUGUGAGUCUAGGUAAAGCUCCCAUACAUUUAUAUUUAAUUUUCUUUUGAUUGUAUAUGUAUGUUUAUUGUAUAAACUUUUGGUUUGAAUUUGUUUUUGAGUUUUGUGAUAUAAUUUUUUUGAUUUACUGUGCAUAUACUAUUGUUCAUUUUAUCAAUUCCUGAGUUAUUUUUUGCAGAUGUAUUCAUGAUAUUGAUUAUUGUUAAUGAAUUUCCUUUGAUCUUGAUGGUUCUCA